GACGAACGCUGGCGGCGUGCUUAACACAUGCAAGUCGAACGGAAAGGCCCUGCUUUUGUGGGGUGCUCGAGUGGCGAACGGGUGAGUAACACGUGAGUAACCUGCCCUUGACUUUGGGAUAACUUCAGGAAACUGGGGCUAAUACCGGAUAGGAGCUCCUGCUGCAUGGUGGGGGUUGGAAAGUUUCGGCGGUUGGGGAUGGACUCGCGGCUUAUCAGCUUGUUGGUGGGGUAGUGGCUUACCAAGGCUUUGACGGGUAGCCGGCCUGAGAGGGUGACCGGCCACAUUGGGACUGAGAGACGGCCCAGACUCCUACGGGAGGCAGCAGUGGGGAAUAUUGCACAAUGGGCGGAAGCCUGAUGCAGCAACGCCGCGUGCGGGAUGACGGCCUUAGGGUUGUAAACCGCUUUCGCCUGUGACGAAGCGUGAGUGACGGUAAUGGGUAAAGAAGCACCGGCUAACUACGUG
Molecule: ribosomal RNA, 468 nt
Filed under: uncultured bacterium
Lineage: Bacteria
Description: partial 16S ribosomal RNA
Rfam family: Bacterial small subunit ribosomal RNA
Source: RNAcentral